Molecule: ribosomal RNA, 497 nt
Filed under: uncultured bacterium
Lineage: Bacteria
Description: partial 16S ribosomal RNA
Rfam family: Bacterial small subunit ribosomal RNA
Source: RNAcentral
GAUGAACGCUGGCGGCGUGCCUAAUACAUGCAAGUCGAGCGAACAGAUGAGGAGCUUUCUCCUCUGCCGUUAGCGGCGGACGGGUGAGUAACACAUGGAUAACCUUCCUCUAAGUCUGGGAUGACUUCGGAAAACCAGUGCUACUACUGCCUCAUAUAUUCAACGGCUUGGUUCAAGAGUUAAAGACGCCUUUCCCGUUACUUUUAGAUGAUUCCGCGCCGGAUUAGUUAGUUGGUAAGGUCACGGCUUACCAAGGCAACGAUGCGUAGCCGACCUGAGAGGGUGAUCGGCCACACUGGAACUGAGACACGGUCCAGACUCCUACGGGAGGCAGCAGUAGGGAAUAUUGCGCAAUGGGCGAAAGCCUGACGGAGCAACGCCGCGUGGGUGAUGAAGGUCUUCGGAUCGUAAAACUCUGUUAUUAGGGAAGAAAAAAUGUGUAAGUAACUAUGCACGUCUUGACGGUACCUAAACAGAAAGCCACGGCUAACUACGUG